RNAcentral lists this ribosomal RNA (497 nucleotides) under uncultured bacterium. RNAcentral's name for it is "partial 16S ribosomal RNA". It matches the Rfam family "Bacterial small subunit ribosomal RNA", at positions 28 to 507 of the family's 1533-position model. The record is from RNAcentral.
GAUGAACGCUGGCGGCGUGCCUAAUACAUGCAAGUAGAACGCUGAAGCUUGGUGCUUGCACCGAGCGGAUGAGUUGCGAACGGGUGAGUAACGCGUAGGUAACCUGCCUCUUAGCGGGGGAUAACUAUUGGAAACGAUAGCUAAUACCGCAUAAAAGUCGAUAUCGCAUGAUAUUGAUUUGAAAGGUGCAAAUGCAUCACUAAGAGAUGGACCUGCGUUGUAUUAGCUAGUUGGUGAGGUAACGGCUCACCAAGGCGACGAUACAUAGCCGACCUGAGAGGGUGAUCGGCCACACUGGGACUGAGACACGGCCCAGACUCCUACGGGAGGCAGCAGUAGGGAAUCUUCGGCAAUGGGGGCAACCCUGACCGAGCAACGCCGCGGGAGUGAAGAAGGUUGUCGGAUCGUAAAGCUCUGUUGUAAGAGAAGAACGAGUGUGAGAGUGGAAAGUUCACACUGUGACGGUAACUUACCAGAAAGGGACGGCUAACUACGUG